GGAGUAAGAAAAAUGCACACCCAGGCAUGACUGGCAGAAAAGUCAAUGGGCAAUUACUCACGAAGGCUGUUGAGGAACAAACAAGAAUGAAUGGGCCCACAUCUAAACUAGAAGUUAAGCUAAAACAUAUGGAGGAAACCCACUCCCCCCUUUUUUAAAAAAUAUUCACUUAAAGGCUGGAACAGUCUACACAAAGAGGCCAUGCAUCUCCCUUAGAGGAAGAUGUUGAGAACAGUUUAGACUGCCUCGUGGCUGCUUCACCAAGCUUGAUCCUAUGCCUCUGCCCAUCACAUCUGCUUUUCAGUAAAGCUGUGGGGGAGGCAAGUUGUCCCCUUGGACCUUUAAACACAAUCUGUCUACGGGUUUUGCAUUUUUUUUUUCCUAGCAGAGUGAGAUUUUCAUGUUUGUUUUGCAAAGAAAAGGUUUAGUAGGUUUCUUUUCUUUCUUUCUCUUUUUCUUUUGCAAUAAACUAUUGAACAAGAUGUACAUAAUUUCACCCCAGGUUUUAACCGCUCCCAGAUUUGGAUGCUGUGUGUCUUGACGUAGCCUUUAGCGAGUUAGGAUGGAUCUGAAAGGUCAGAAUGUGCCUGAACUUUUGACUCUUCCCUUCAGCUCACUCACUGUUGUGUCUGCAUUGUUUUAAUCUUAAAAAUGGAAAACCAGCAGCAAUUCUUUCACCAUAUCUUGUGCAGAGAGACUUUUCCCCUCUUUAUAGACCAUGCCGCCAUCCAAAAGCUUGAAAAACACCCCAGGAAACCAUCACGUCAUUUGACAGGACUAAUCGCCACACACAACUUGCAUUUCCUUCCUGGACGUCAUGGGCCACAGUGCCGUAGUUCCCACGUUAUUUCUGUCGUUGUCCCCAGAACUGUAACUCUUGAUCCUGAGCCUGGGCAGGACAGCUUGUCUCAGCAUGAACUCUUAUGGUGAAGACCCCCACUCUUUGGACCCUCCUACAUGUUCCUGCAUCCUGGGAGGGUGGAGGCCGCUCUGCCUCCUUGUGCCAGCAGAACAGCUCAAUGAGAGACACAUGUGUGCAGAGAAGGGGGGAAUUUGGCUUCUAGGGUCCACUGCACACUCAAAACCAAGGCUGCUGCGGUAACUCCCUUCAUAAAUCUUGACUUUUAACUACAAAUUAUUUAGACUAUCUGGUUUCACUUCCUUCUCUUCUCCCGUCAGAUUCAAAGAAUCUUAGACUUAAGAGAAACAUUGAGUCUGAAUUAAACUCCAUUAUAAACUUGA
This is a non-coding RNA of Ictidomys tridecemlineatus (thirteen-lined ground squirrel), 1242 nucleotides long. The record is from RefSeq and is a predicted model, not a curated record. Lineage: Eukaryota; Metazoa; Chordata; Mammalia; Rodentia; Sciuridae.